AAAAAAAAAAAAAAAAAAACUACCAAGAAAUAGUUUGUGGGGAGCAUACUAAUGACAACAAAAAUAAAAAUUUGAAAGUUGUCGAUGAGCUCUUUGGACAAGGUGAGGAAGGUUGGUGGGAAGGGUGAGAGAAGCGGCACAUAGGUUCUCAUUAAUGGGUAAAAUGAGAAGUGUAAGUUGCAGAGAUAUAUGGAGAGGGAAUAGGCAGAUAAAGUUAAAACUAAAGUGGUACAAGAAGCUACAAAUAAGAGGAGUAAGUUACUUUACUUAAUUCUGUGUGGGGAGAUAAAAGAUGAAAAUACGAAGGAAAACAUAAUAUUAUGUAAUUAGAGUGAAAAGAAUGCAUACAAUCUCUGUAGGCCUUUUAACUUGUGCUUCACUUGGGUUAAUUGGCUUUGAUUAUGCACUUGCCUCGGUUUUUCCGUUUGAUUGGCCCACAAGUACGCUUUUUUUAGUCACUCUUUUAUUUUUGUAAACUUCUUUCUCGACUUAUUUUAUGAGAUUUCCCUAUUUUUACUACCUCUAAUUGCUUAUAUCCCUAUCUUGUUUCCCAUUAUUGCUUUAUUUUUGUUUCUUUAUGUUUUAUCACUGGGACUGUAAGUAUAAUUUUGAGACCAAGUAGGGAGGAUAUCAAAUCAAAUCAAGUGAACCUUACUUUAUGCUUCACUAAAAAAUAUAAUUAUUUUGCAUACAUGUGGUUGAUUGGUAUGGUUUGAGCAAUUUAAAAUUGUCACAUGUUGCCCGAUGUUCAAAGCCACGCACAAAAACACAUCAAGGAUGGUCUUGGAUGUGAGCAAGGGCUAACGGGCAAGGUUUUAAAUCGUGGUCGCGGGUAAUGGAAAUAGACCUGUAACGGUCGUAACGUAACCGUAACGGUGGUAACGUAACGAUCGUAACGUAACGGUAAUGGUCUGACGCUAUAUAAAUUUAUUUGAAAAAUAUGCAAGGUUUAUGAAAUGAGUAGAUAUUGGUAGA
Molecule: unclassified non-coding RNA, 975 nt
Filed under: Hevea brasiliensis (rubber tree)
Lineage: Eukaryota; Viridiplantae; Streptophyta; Magnoliopsida; Malpighiales; Euphorbiaceae
Source: RNAcentral